Non-coding RNA from Salvelinus sp. IW2-2015, 743 nucleotides. The record is from RefSeq and is a predicted model, not a curated record. Lineage: Eukaryota; Metazoa; Chordata; Actinopteri; Salmoniformes; Salmonidae.
GGAAUUGUGAAAAACUGAGUUUAAAUGUAUUUGGCUCAGGUGUAUAUAAACUUCCUACUUCAACUGUAUGUGAAAGAGGCUUGGUUGUACCAACAACAAUGAUCUCAAUACAGGAGCUCAUCAUGGGACCAAGCAUGGGUUCAAGGUAUACACCAUUGCUCUAUUUUUUUUUCAUUUGAAUUUGUGAAGCAAAUUGAGAGACGAGAAACACAUUUUACUCUUUGGUGAGUGUCUGACAGUGUACGGAAAGAAUAGCCUAUACAAAACAUAUUUGUACUGUGUUUUUCUACAAAAUGUUCGAGAUUGUUUAAUUUCUUAACUUUUUCAUGGAGUUGAUUUUGAAUAUCACAGUUAAAACACCCUUACUUCUGGAAUAUUUAAAGUGYACUGGGCUGUUCGUGUCUCUAACAUUCCUGUACUGCUUUUAAGUAUGUUAAGUAUGAAAGGAUGUUUCACCUAACAUUCGGUUAUGAUGACCAUUAACUACAUUUCAAUGCCUGUGUCCAUUUCAAACAGUCCCUAGACAAACAUGUAGCUUAAAGCCUAUGGCGUUGGAAUGGGCUUUUAACUGGGAGCAUAGAUCCUGGUUCAGGCCCUAACAGCGUUAUUUGGGGAGAAUGUAGGUGGAUCUUUUCCCAUUCUCCUGUUCCUGUCUGUGUUGCCGCUGGAUUGGCAGGUGUCAGUGUUUUUGUAUAUUUUAGUACAUACAAAUUUAAUAAAAAACUCUACUUCUUUUACAUGCC